RNAcentral lists this transfer RNA (73 nucleotides) under Chitinophagaceae bacterium. RNAcentral's name for it is "tRNA-Gly". It matches the Rfam family "tRNA". From Rfam's summary of the family: Transfer RNA (tRNA) molecules are approximately 80 nucleotides in length. Their secondary structure includes four short double-helical elements and three loops (D, anti-codon, and T loops). Lineage: Bacteria; Pseudomonadati; Bacteroidota; Chitinophagia; Chitinophagales; Chitinophagaceae. The record is from RNAcentral.
GCGGAAGUAGCUCACCCGGUAGAGCGACAGCUUCCCAAGCUGUAGGUAGCCGGUUCGAGUCCGGUCUUCCGCU